CCCCCUACGGGAGGCAGCAGUGAGGAAUAUUGGUCAAUGGGCGGAAGCCUGAACCAGCCAAGUCGCGUGAGGGAAUAAGGCCCUACGGGUCGUAAACCUCUUUUGCCGGGGAGCAAGGGCCGGGACGCGUCCCGGCCCGGAGGGUACCCGGAGAAAAAGCAUCGGCUAGCUCCGUGCCAGCAGCCGCGGUAAUACGGAGGAUGGGAGCGUUAUCCGGAUUUAUUGGGUUUAAAGGGGUCGUAGGCGGGCU
RNAcentral lists this ribosomal RNA (250 nucleotides) under uncultured bacterium. RNAcentral describes it as "partial 16S ribosomal RNA". It matches the Rfam family "Bacterial small subunit ribosomal RNA", at positions 335 to 581 of the family's 1533-position model. The record is from RNAcentral.